GUGGGGAAUAUUGGGCAAUGGGCGAAAGCCUGACCCAGCAACGCCGCGUGAAGGAAGAAGGUUUUCGGAUCGUAAACUUCUAUCCUUGGUGAAGAUAAUGACGGUAGCCAAGAAGGAAGCCCCGGCUAACUACGUGCCAGCAGCCGCGGUAAUACGUAGGGGGCAAGCGUUGUCCGGAAUGAUUGGGCGUAAAGGGCGCGUAGGCGGCCCGGUAAGUCUGAAGUGAAAGUCCUGCUUUUAAGGUGGGAAUUGCUUUGGAUACUGUCGGGCUUGAGUGCAGGAGAGGUAAGCGGAAUUCCCGGUGUAGCGGUGAAAUGCGUAGAGAUCGGGAGGAACACCAGUGGCGAAGGCGGCUUACUGGACUGUAACUGACGUUGAGGCGCGAAAGUGUGGGGAGCAAACAGGAUUAGAAACCCGAGUAGUCC
This 425-nucleotide ribosomal RNA is filed under the name uncultured bacterium. Its description in RNAcentral is "partial 16S ribosomal RNA". It matches the Rfam family "Bacterial small subunit ribosomal RNA", at positions 354 to 796 of the family's 1533-position model. The record is from RNAcentral.